UACGAACUGUGCGAACGUUAUUCGGAAUCACUGGGCUUACAGGGUGCGUAGGCGGCUUGUCAAGUAGGGUGUGAAAGCCCCCGGCUCAACCGGGGAAUGGCGCCCUAAACUGGCGAGCUAGAGUGAGAUAGGGGUGUGUGGAACUUCCGGUGGAGCGGUGAAAUGUGUUGAUAUCGGAAGGAACGCCGGUGGCGAAAGCGACACACUGGAUCUUGUCUGACGCUGAGGCACGAAAGCCAGGGGAGCAAACGGG
RNAcentral lists this ribosomal RNA (253 nucleotides) under uncultured bacterium. RNAcentral's name for it is "partial 16S ribosomal RNA". It matches the Rfam family "Bacterial small subunit ribosomal RNA", at positions 524 to 776 of the family's 1533-position model. The record is from RNAcentral.